This 373-nucleotide ribosomal RNA is filed under the name uncultured organism. RNAcentral's name for it is "partial 16S ribosomal RNA". It matches the Rfam family "Bacterial small subunit ribosomal RNA", at positions 527 to 896 of the family's 1533-position model. The record is from RNAcentral.
GUAGGUGGCAAGCGUUGUCCGGAAUUAUUGGGCGUAAAUCGCGCGCAGGCGGGUUUUUAAGGUCUGAUGUGAAAGCCCACGGGCUCAACCGUGGAGGGUCAUUGGAAACUGGAGAACUUGAGUACAGAAGAGGAAAGCGGAAUUCCACGUGUAGCGGUGAAAUGCGUAGAGAUGUGGAGGAACACCAGUGGCGAAGGCGGCUUUCUGGUCUGUAACUGACGCUGAGGCGCGAAAGCGUGGGGAGCAAACAGGAUUAGAUACUCUGGUAGUCCACGCCGUAAACGAUGAGUGCUAAGUGUUAGGGGGUUUCCGCCCCUUAGUGCUGCAGCUAACGCAUUAAGCACUCCGCCUGGGGAGUACGGCCGCAAGGCUG